RNAcentral lists this ribosomal RNA (441 nucleotides) under uncultured bacterium. Its description in RNAcentral is "bacterial SSU rRNA". It matches the Rfam family "Bacterial small subunit ribosomal RNA", at positions 340 to 774 of the family's 1533-position model. The record is from RNAcentral.
UACGGGAGGCAGCAGUGGGGAAUAUUGCACAAUGGGCGCAAGCCUGAUGCAGCCAUGCCGCGUGUAUGAAGAAGGCCUUCGGGUUGUAAAGUACUUUCAGUCGUGAGGAAGGUGUUAAGGUUAAUAACCUUAGCAAUUGACGUUAGCGACAGAAGAAGCACCGGCUAACUCCGUGCCAGCAGCCGCGGUAAUACGGAGGGUGCGAGCGUUAAUCGGAAUUACUGGGCGUAAAGGGCACGCAGGCGGUUAAUUAAGUUGGAUGUGAAAUCCCCGGGCUUAACCUGGGAAUGGCAUUCAAGACUGGUUAGCUAGAGUCUUGUAGAGGGGGUAGAAUUCCGAUGUGUAGCGGUGAAAUGCGUAGAGAUGUGGAGGAAUACCGGUGGCGAAGGCGGCCCCUGGACAAAGGCUGACGCUCAUGUGCGAAAGCGUGGGGAGCGAAAC